RNAcentral lists this ribosomal RNA (860 nucleotides) under Metapenaeus intermedius. Its description in RNAcentral is "12S ribosomal RNA". Lineage: Eukaryota; Metazoa; Arthropoda; Malacostraca; Decapoda; Penaeidae. The record is from RNAcentral.
UAGUAAGCAGUUAUUGUCUUGAAACUCAAAGGAAUUGGCGGUAAUUUAGUCUAGUUAGAGGAACCUGUCAUGUAAUCGAUAGUCCACGAAAUAUCUUACUUUAUCUUGUAAAAACAGCUUGUAUACCGUCAUUAUUAGAUAACUUUUAAAAAAUUAGUUAUUGAAAUAGUUUUAAACUAGUAUAUUAGAUCAAGGUGCAGCUUAUGGUAGAGAAGAGAUGGGUUACAAUAAAAUUUUAUAGACGAAUUAAAAGAAGAAUUUCUUUAUAUGAAGGUGGAUUUAAAAGUAAGAUGGUUUUAAAAUGACACUCUGAUUAUAGCUCUAGGUUAUGUAAACAUCUCCCGUCGCUCUCGUUAAUUAAAUAGAGAUAAUUCGUAACAUAGUAGGUGUAUUGGAAAGUGUACCUAGAAAUUUAUAAAGUUUUAUCCUGGCUUGUUCUUUUAUUUUCAGAUUAAUGGGUACAUGUAAGGUCUUUCCGUGCCGAUAUUUAAGCUUAGGUUAGAGAUUAGAUAUAAUUAAGUUUUUAAUAUUAAAAGGUGUUUAUAAAAUAUAAACUCGCAGUACCUAGUGCUAAUUUAAUAUAAAUGGGAGUUUGAAUUGGUAAUUUUGAUAAUUAUACCUGGUUAAAAUUUGUGACAGCAGCCGCGGUUAUACUGAGAGGUAAAAUAAAAGAAGAUCGGUUAAAAAUUCUUAAUCAAUACUUUUAUAUUAGAGAUAUAAGUUUGUACUAAUAAAGGGUGAAAUUAGCUUUUGGUGAGCAAAAGUAUUUCUUUUUAUAAUGAGGUUGAGGUUAUUAAGGUAAAGGUAUGGACCAGGAUUAGAUACCCUGUUACACUUUAUUUAAAAUGUUAUUACCCGGG